This 667-nucleotide unclassified non-coding RNA is filed under the name Hevea brasiliensis (rubber tree). Lineage: Eukaryota; Viridiplantae; Streptophyta; Magnoliopsida; Malpighiales; Euphorbiaceae. The record is from RNAcentral.
UUUUCCAAUUAUUCAAGUACAUAAUCCAAUGAAAUUACUAUGCAAGUUAGCAUUAAUUUUCACAUCAAAGAGCGUGCAAAUUAUCAUCAAUUGCAGGAGAGCUGAAUAGAUAUAUUUUUAUAAACUCAAUGAAUAAUUUAUCCAAUAUAAUUUAAAUAAAAAUGAAUAAGUAAAAAAAUUAAAUGACCUAACAUUAAUAAACGGUUAAGAAAAAUGAAUGAAGAGGGUGCUACAGUUACAGAUAAGUUAUGCGAAGUUGUCUAUCACAUUACAGUUACAGAUGUGUUUGUAUUAUGCGAAAAAAGUCUAGCGACUUUUUCCGUAACUGCCUAAUAUGUUCAUAUUAACUUGAAAUGUUAAAAGACAUUAAAUUUUUAAGUUUAUACAAAUUAAGCCAACUGACUGAUUAAUCAGUAAAUUGGCCAUCUCAAUUGAGUUUAAUGUGAUCAACUAGUGAACCAUGUCCUAGAAAAAUUUUAAUGCUAUUAAAGGGUUUCAAAUAUAUGUUUGUUUAAACCUAGAGUAUAAAUUUAUUGUUGAUGUUUUUAGAUAAUAAAUUUUGAGGAACGACUGUUCAAUAAAAAUUAAAAAUUAUUAAUUAAGGUUUAAAAACAAAUUAAACGUUUGAUUAAAUAUUAAAUGACUAUAUAAGCUAUAAUAGUUCAAU